AUCUAAAGCCCAGUUCUUCGUGUAACACUGCAGGCUUUUGAAGAGCCACAGGCCCAAGGACUAGCUAGGGCGUUCCUUGGUUGAGGCAGUUCAAUAGAUGCAGAACAUCCUGCUUCGAGAAGUUGAUUCAGGGAAGGAACCAGUGGGUAACUUGUGUCUUUUUUGACUUGUUAGAAACCACAGGGAUGUAUGCUGCGUGUGCCCAUGGAAAUGGGGCCUGAUGGAACUAGCCAUGCUUUCCCAUUUUGAAAUCUCCAUUCAUGCUUCCUUGAAGCUACCUGAAAUUCACUGCCAUUGACAGUCCUCUAGCCACUGUAGGCAUAGCACUUGGAAAAAAACAGGUUUCCUCUAGCUAAACCGGGUGAUUCCAUGGCUGGGGUGGUGGUCAGCGUGCCAUGCUCUAGAGCUAAUGGGAAACUCAACGUGAGUACUUGUCUCGAGGAAAGCCCCUGAGUAUCCGUGCAGAAAGCAGGCAUGCAGCUGUUUCCAUUAGGCCUUAGUCGCUGUUCUGCUGUAUUUUAAAGGAAGUACCCUUUUCAGGAUUCCUAGGCCCCUCGGGUGUGCAUCAUUUAUUUCCCUCCAGGAUCACUGAGUACCUCCAGACCCCUGUGGGCCUGCUGAGCAACAUCGAGGCCCAUAGGUUGGUCCCUCAGAGGCCCUCUGUGUAUGCCUAGUGAUGGGCAACACACUGCAUGUUCAUUACGGAGGGCUCUCUUUACAGAGCCCUUCAACAGCCUCAGGCCCACGUUUCUGGCCAGUCCGACGUGCCAUGGAAGUCUUCGUCAUGGCCGUCAUUGGAGCUGCCAUGAGAAAAUAUUCUGCUGACAAUUCUUCUUGGACCUCGUACCUGAAGUCACUCUGCUUGAGGAGAAAUUCAGCAUCUUUCCAUGCUGUGUCGCUCAUGGGGCACUCAGCAUGAGCACUUGCCUCACGGUAAGGCCCUGAAUUGCCGUGCAGAAGCGGAGGUGUGCAGCAGUUCCCAUGAGGCCGUAGCCACUGCUCUGCAUUAUCUUAACGGCUGUACGCUUUUCAGGACACCUAGGAGCCUCGCGUGGGCACCCUAUUCCCGGCAGGAACGUUGAGUACCCCCAGGCCCCCCUGGGCCUGCUAAGCAACUGCCAGGCCCGUAGCCCUUCCCAGCCAGUCUGUGUAUGCCGAGUAUAGGGCAACACACUGCCCUCCUUCACGGGACAGCUUGAAAUCCCCAGCACUCCCACAGGUUCACGAACACCCUUGUAGCACAUCCAACAUGCCGGGUAAGUGUGACUCAUUGCCCCAGUCUGAGCUGCACUGAGAAAAACCCUCGGCUUCGCAUUCCAUCUAGGACCUCCUGCCUGAAGUCACCCUGCCUCCAGGAGAAGGUCGGCUUGUGUUUCGACCGCACCUAAAGCCCAGUUCUUCGUGUAACACUGCAGGCUUUAUAAGAGCCACAGGCCCGGAUGUCUAGCUAGGGUGUACCUUGUAUGAGGCAGUUCGCUAGAUGCAGAACACCCUGCUUUGAGGUUUUGAUUCAGGGAAGGAACCACUGGGUAACCUGUUUCUCUUUUGACUUGUUAGUAACCACAGGGAUGUAUGCUGCGUGUGCCCAUGGAAAUGGGGGCCUGUUGCAACUAGCCUUGCUUUCCCAUUUUGAAAGCUCCAUUCAUGCUGCCUUGAAGCGACCUGAAAUUCACUGCUGUUGACAGGCCUCUAGCCACUCUAGGCCUGCUUUUGGGAAGAAAAUGAGUUUCCUCUAUCUAAACCAUGUACUUCCAUGGCCAGGGUGGACCUCUGCCUGCCAUGGGCUAGAGCUAAAUGGAAACUCAAUGUGAGUACUUGCCUUGAGGAAAGGUCCUGAGUAUCCGUACAGAAAGGGAGGCAUGCAGCUGUUUCUAUGAGGUCUUAGUCGCUGUUUUGCUGUAUUUUAUAAGAAAUACGCUUUUCAGGACUGCUAGGCCCCACGGUUGUGCAUCAUUUCCCUCCAGGAGCACUGAGUACCUCCAGACCCCUGUGGGCCUGCUGAGCAACAUCGAGGAACAUAGGUCGGUCCCUCGGAGGCCCUCUGUGUAUGCCGAGUGAUGGGCAACACACUGCACGUUCCAUAAGGAGAGCCACAUUUCCAGAGCCCUCGAAAUGCCUCAGGCCCACGUUUCUGGCCAGUCCGACGUGCCAUGGAAGUCUUCGUCAUGGCCAUCGUCUGAGCUGCCAUGGGAAAACAUUCUGCUUACAAGUCUUCUAGGACCUCGUACCUGAAGUCACUCUGCUUGAGGAGAAAGUCAGCAUCCUACCAUGCUGUGUCACUAACGGGGCACUCAGCAUGAGCACUUGCCUCGAGGUAAGGCCCUGAAUUGCCGUGCAGAAGCGGAGGCGUGCAGCAGUUCCCAUGAGGCCGUAGCCGCUGCUGUGCAUUAUGUUAACGGCUGUACGCUUUUCAGGACACCUAGGAGCCUCACGUCUGCACCCUAUUCCUGGCAAGAACCCUGAAUACCCCCAGGACCCCCCUGGGCCUGCUAAGCAACAUCCAGGCCCGUAGCCCUUUGGAGCCACUCUGUAUAUGCCGAGUGUAGGGCAGCACACUGCACUCUUUCUUGGGACAGCUUGAAAUCCCCAGCAUUCCCAAAGGUUCACGAACACCGUUCUGGCAGGUCCAACAUGCCGUGGAAGUCUGAAUCAUUGCCCUUGUCUGAGCUGCACUGAGAAAAACCCUCGGCAUCACAUUCCAUCUAGAACCUCUUACCUGAAGUCACCCUGCCUCCAGGAGAAAGUCGGCUUCUGUUCCGACUGCAUCGAAAGCCACGUUUUUCGUGUAACACUGCAGGCUUUUGAAGAGCCGCAGGCCCGGAGGCCUACCUAGGGGUUCCUUCAUUGAGGCAGUUCGCUAGACACAGAACACCCUGCUUUGAGGAGUUGAUUCAAGGAAGGUACCACUGGGUAACCUGUGUCUCUUUUGACUUGUUAGAAACCACAGGGAUGUAUGCUGCAUGUGCCCAUGGAAAUGGGGGCCUGAUGGAACUAGCCGUGCUUUCCCAUUUCGAAAGCUCCAUUCAUUCAUGCUGCCUUGAAGCUACCUGAAAUUCACUGCUGUUGACAGGCCUCUAGGCACCGUAGGCAUGGCUGUGGGAGGAGAAUGAGUUUUCUCUAGCUAAACUGGGUGCUUCCUUGGCCGGGGUGGAGCUCAUCGUGCCAUGCUCUAGAUCUAAAGGGAAACUCAACGUGAGUACUUGCCUCAAGGAAAGGUCCUGAAAAGACGUGCCUUUUCACAGGCAGGGAACAUAGGAGAUAUUAGGACUUUGUGUGCAGAAAGGGAGGUAUGCAGCUGUUUCCAUGAGUCCUUAGUCGCUGUUCUGCUUUAUUUUAAAGGAAGUUCCCUUUUCAGCACUCCUGUGUCCCUUGGGUGUGCAUCAUUUCCCUCCAGGAUCACUGAGUACCUCCAGACCCCUGUGGGCCUGCUGAGCAACAUCGAGGAACAUAGGUCAGUCCCUCGGAGGCCCUCUGUGUAUUUCGAGUGAUGGGCAACACACUGCACGUUUCUUAUGAGAGCUACAUUUCCAGAGCCCUCGCACAGCCUUCAGUACCUCAUUUCUGGCUAGUCCGACGUGUCAUGGAAUACUUCGUCACGGCCAUCGUCUGAGCUGCCAUGGGAAAACACUCUGCUUAGAAUUCUUCAAGGAACUCGUACCUGAAGUCACUCUGCUCGAGGAGAAAGUCAGCAUCCUACCAUGCUGUGUCGCUACCGGGACACUCAGCGUGAGCAUCUGCCUCGAGGUAACACCUACUGUAUGCUGUGACCCAUCUCAGCUGUGAGAACACAAGUCACAAGCAUGUGCUGUGUCCUGUGAGCCUCCCAGCCAGUCCCUGAAGGUGAGGGCGGCCCUGCAGACCCCAGCCCUCUCCUCCACGUCUAGUAGGUAGAAGACCCACUUCUCCUUGCCAUUCCAGAAGCGGUUCUGGGGUUGUCCUGGGAGGGCUUCUGCGGUUAUGCAGGCUGAGCCCCUGUUGCUAUGCCGCCACUUCCCCACAAGAUCCUCCAGAGCAAGCUGUUUGCCCUGUUGCCUGAAUGACCUCCCAGAAGUUUUCUCAGGAAAGAAUCAGGGGUUUCUGUAGCAGCAUCUGCAGGCAGCUCUGCAUCUGGACCCACGUUCACAUCUUCUGUGUAAACACCGAGAACCUUCCCUCACAUGUGCCCCCGGGUGACCACCUCCGCAUGCCGAGCACAGGCCCCAGUGUGGGCGUCAGACUGACCGCCCGUCUCAGCCUCCUGUUGUUGUCAGAGCUGCUCCAGGCCCUGCUCAAGCCCCGUGCACCCAGCUUUCACAGGGCUGUCCUCCACCCCCACCUUCAGCAGGAGUUCACCUAAGUAUUUAAGUGAAGGGGUCCAGAGAUAAGAAAGGAAGCUGCAAACAAAGAAACAGAUGGAACCAUCUGGGACCAAGAUGGCAACGAAUGUGACCUCCAACAGACCCCGAAUCUCAUCACGUGUUGAAUUUACUAUAUCAGCAUAUUAAGUGACACACCAACCGGCGGCCAUGGCUGGACGUGAAGGACCAGAAACGGGUAAAAGGAGGUGGUACCCCAGCUCCUUGGAAAAAGCCCCGCCCCUUCCCCAGAAGGCCUCUUCAUCCCAUCACUAGCCUCCCUCCUCCUCCCUUUGUCUUUACUGUUUAAAAUUAAACCUCUCUCUCCAGGAGGGCGAGAAGGUGACCUGUGAA
Orcinus orca (killer whale) is the source of this 4688-nucleotide long non-coding RNA. RefSeq lists it as uncharacterized. The record is from RefSeq and is a predicted model, not a curated record. The transcript is spliced from 2 exons. Lineage: Eukaryota; Metazoa; Chordata; Mammalia; Artiodactyla; Delphinidae.